This 572-nucleotide ribosomal RNA is filed under the name uncultured bacterium. RNAcentral's name for it is "partial 16S ribosomal RNA". It matches the Rfam family "Bacterial small subunit ribosomal RNA", at positions 355 to 920 of the family's 1533-position model. The record is from RNAcentral.
UGGGGAAUUUUGGACAAUGGGGGCAACCCUGAUCCAGCAAUGCCGCGUGUGUGAAGAAGGCCUUCGGGUUGUAAAGCACUUUUGUCCGGAAAGAAAACGUCGUGGUUAAUACCCGUGGCGGCUGACGGUACCGGAAGAAUAAGCACCGGCUAACUACGUGCCAGCAGCCGCGGUAAUACGUAGGGUGCAAGCGUUAAUCGGAAUUACUGGGCGUAAAGCGUGCGCAGGCGGUCCGCUAAGACAGAUGUGAAAUCCCCGGGCUUAACCUGGGAACUGCAUUUGUGACUGGCGGGCUAGAGUAUGGCAGAGGGGGGUAGAAUUCCACGUGUAGCAGUGAAAUGCGUAGAGAUGUGGAGGAAUACCGAUGGCGAAGGCAGCCCCCUGGGCCAAUACUGACGCUCAUGCACGAAAGCGUGGGGAGCAAACAGGAUUAGAUACCCUGGUAGUUCACGCCCUAAACGAUGUCAACUAGUUGUCGGGUCUUCAUUGACUUGGUAACGUAGCUAACGCGUGAAGUUGACCGCCUGGGGAGUACGGUCGCAAGAUUAAAACUCAAAGGAAUUGACGGGGUC